GACGAACGCUGGCGGCGUGCUUAACACAUGCAAGUCGAACGGAAAGGCCCUGCUUUUGUGGGGUGCUCGAGUGGCGAACGGGUGAGUAACACGUGAGUAACCUGCCCUUGACUUUGGGAUAACUUCAGGAAACUGGGGCUAAUACCGGAUAGGAGCUCCUGCUGCAUGGUGGGGGUUGGAAAGAUUCGGCGGUUGGGGAUGGACUCGCGGCUUAUCAGCUUGUUGGUGGGGUAGUGGCUUACCAAGGCUUUGACGGGUAGCCGGCCUGAGAGGGUGACCGGCCACAUUGGGACUGAGAGACGGCCCAGACUCCUACGGGAGGCAGCAGUGGGGAAUAUGGCACAAUGGGCGGAAGCCUGAUGCAGCAACGCCGCGUGCGGGAGGACGGCCUUCGGGUUGUAAACCGCUUUGGCCUGUGACGAAGCGUGAGUGACGGUAAUGGGUAAAGAAGCAACGGCUAACUACGUG
Molecule: ribosomal RNA, 468 nt
Filed under: uncultured bacterium
Lineage: Bacteria
Description: partial 16S ribosomal RNA
Rfam family: Bacterial small subunit ribosomal RNA
Source: RNAcentral